This is a long non-coding RNA of Equus asinus (donkey), 8718 nucleotides long. NCBI's taxonomy places the organism in Eukaryota, Metazoa, Chordata, Mammalia, Perissodactyla, Equidae. The record is from Ensembl.
GGGUAAAAGCAUCAGAAAUCAGCAUCUGGCCAUCGGUUUUGGAGGCUCAGAAACUAGGGUUGGUAAGAUGAUUCUGGGGAUCGGUUCCUGGUAUCCCAGCUUACGAAGGACCGACUUCUAAACCAUAUGCUACUCUCGCGUUGGGCGUUAGAAAGACUCUACGGAUCAGACCAGGGUGGCUGCGCUCUCCCCAGGUAGACGGAUCCUCAUGGGGGGCUCAGAUGGGACCAGAAGAGAAGUUGGCGUCUACAGAAGCUGAGCAGGACUGAGUGGCGUAAUUCGGAUACAACUGGACAGUUCUAUUCCUUCUGUGGGGUCGUGUUACCAGCAAGCAAAGGUAGACUCUCGGGCUAGUUAGCCCUGGAUUUGCCGGUGAAUGACAGAAAACCCAACAGAACAGUGUCUCACACAAGAGAAUAGUUUCCUUUCCUUUUUCCCUAAAAUUCAGGGCCAGGGUUACUUCUUCAGUCAACACCCCAAGCUCCUUUUUUUUUUUUUUUUUUUGCUAUACGUGUGAUAUGUGGCGUCCAGUCCCAAGGUCACCUCGUGGUCCAAGAUGGCGGCUCAGUGCUUGUCUUCAUGCUUCUGUUCUAACUCAAAGGGAGACUGAAAGAAAGUCUCUCCAGACUGUCACUACUCUGGAAGAACCAGGUCACUGUCCUGGUUUGCCUCCACUUAACCAUUUACGGGCAAAGAAAGCCAGGCGCCCUGCCUCCAGCUUUCCAACUCUACCGGUAUUCCAAGAUGGCGGACGUUGGUGACUCUGUUAAUCCGGAGGGCGUUACAUCAGCCGGAUCGCAUCCUAACAGCUCCUGUGAGGUGACAUGAGGCAACGCCUAGUGUAAGGUGUCUUCCUUCGGUAGAAGUCAGAAACCGUGUUCGCCCUGAGGCCCCCUGUGCUCCCACCGUCAUCCCUUUGCACAGCUUGCUUCCUCUGCUGGUCGAGGUUGCCUCCCACUUCGGGACAUUAUCUUAGAGAGUAGUUUUUCGAUUCUUUUUGCUCCGUAACUAAAUUGAAACUAUGCUACCUGAAAACAGUUGAGUGCUGUCUUUACCCCAAUGCCAGGCAUUGUCAUAGUCUAUAAGGUUGGGUUUUGAGGGGCCACUUCCCUUUGAAAAUCUGCAUUUCCCUCCAGCUCAUCUUUACGGAUAAGUCUCGUUUUCUCAGGAAAGCUUCUCUCUGUCUCGUUCACACAGGUAUUUUAAUGAUAACAUGGACACCUCCCUCUGUUGCCCACAUCAUCCACCAGUUUAUUCUAUCCUAGAAGCACAGUAAUUUCUUCUGAGGAAACUACAGGAACCCACCCUACCCACUCAGAGGGCGCCAUCUUGAAACUUUCAUGAAUGUCGCCUUCUCUUAACUAGCUCCCCGUCUUUCAAAAUCUCUCUUGCACUUUUGUUUCUCUGUUGUCCCCCUCCUGCUGUGAGCAAUUCUCUCCCAAAGCUCAGUGGCAGCAAUGGUCUCCUAACCCAUCUCCCAGCUUCCCAUCUCUCCGCACUGGAAUCCAGGUGAUGCCGAAGAGCCAUCUUCCACUCCCCACACCUCCGCCACUCUCUCAUUGCCUACAAGAGAAAGUCAUCGGCCACCUGUGCAAGGCCUUCUAUCCUCAGGUUUCCCCAGAUCGCUGAGUUGAACCCUACAUCAUAGUCCACCCUGCCCUUUGGGGUCCAUUAGUCUUUUAAAGGAAGAGGUUGCUGCCUCUGAGUUAUCGAGCCCAAGCACAUCUUUCUUUCCUGCGUCUCCAAGUUCUUUCUUCCUGGAGCCUCAACCCUGACUGGGAGCCUGGAUUUCUUUUGACUGGGCUAUAUAACUUUAUGCCUUGGUGUACCCAAAGCUGGGGAAGUUCCUGACGCAUCAUGCAUGCAUAUUAAAGGAAUGGAUGGCUGGCUGGAUGGUAAAUGGAUGGUGGCAUGGUGGGAUGGAGAGGUGGAUGGAUUGGGGGAUGGAUAGAUGGAUGGAUGGUAAAUAGAUGGUUGGAUGGAUGGGUGGGUGGGUAGAUGAAUGGAUGGAUGGAUGGUAAAUGGAUGGUGGGAUGGAUGGAUGGGAACAUGGAUGGAUGGCUCCUCCCAAUGGCAGAAGUCUCUGUGCUUUGGUUUCCGAAGUUUUCCUGCCUGCCUUUCCCUUCCCAGCCUCCAUUCACCUGCACAGACACCUGCCCGCGUCACCUUGGCAACCUGGUGGCAUUCAUCUGCUUGGACAAUCAUUUGAACCUGUGGAGUCACAGGCUGGCCCGGUUGAGUCACAGCUAUCAGCGGGGCUGUCCUCCCAGAUUCGUGAAGGUUAAGGUCUCAAGCUUUAACUUUGCCAAGAACACACUGCCGGUCCUCAUUAUUGGGGCCAAAAGGCAACCAUCGGCCACAGCAGCUCAGAACUAAUUAACUAACUUGGCGUCUUUUGCUUUUCUGUUGCUCUUCCCUGGGAUCCAGGUGUGGCAUCGUCUGUGGCCCUGAGAAGACUUGGGUCUUUGCUCCAGUCAGACGCAACCGUGUCUGAUCUAAAUAAAUACAAAUUUUUAAUUCCCUUCUUCAGCGCUUUUUCCUGGUGUAUUUUCCUGGCACAGCUUUGUUGGGUCCCUUCUCUGACUUCCAUCCAAGUUCAGUCUCACAGAUGCACAGCGCACAUCUACAGCCACUAUUUCAAAAUUAGUUGAUGGGGGGCCAAGUGGGCGUUUUGAGUUUCCAGAUGGCUCCUCUUUACUCCUGAUGUUUUUGCAAGAAGGGCGAAGUAACAGAAAUGAACAUUUCUAUGGCUACAAGUUCCUCCAGAGAAAAUCCAAUACUUGUUGAAGUGGAUUUAAAGGAGAGAAAGAGCGACAUUCCGUUCCGUUUUCAUUAAUUUAUUCCCAAGGAACCGCCAAGUGACAGCACAACAAAUGAGGGUACAGGAACUGACAGUGCAUUGAAAAUCACUUAGGAUGCUCAAACCAGACCAAUUUGUUAUAAGGCCACUUAGAUGCUGUCUCACAAGGAGGAACGAUCAUCUGUUUUAGUUGUCUCUAGGCCACCGAGGAUGCUCCGCAGCCCAAAGGAAAACAUCAGUCAGACCACUGUCUUUCUGGGAUAAAGAAGAAAGGGGGAAGGUCCUUCCGGGCCAGAUUGUCCUCUCCGAUGGGUAAGCGGCAGCUGGUGAUGGAGGUGAUGACAAUAGUGAUACUGAUGACAGUGAUGCUGAUGAUGGUGCUGGUGAUAGUUUGAUGCUGAUGAUGAUGCUGCUGAUGCUGAUGAUGGUGCUGAUGAUAGUUUGAUGCUGAUGAUGGUGAUGCUGAUGCUGGUGAAGGUGACGGUGAUAGUUUGAUGAUGAUGAUGCUGAUGCUGACGCUGAUGAUGGUGAUGCUAAUGCUGAUGAAGGUGAUGGUGAUGAUGCUGCUGCUGCUGCUGCUGAUGAUGAUGAUGAUGAUGGUGAUGGUGAUAGUUUGAUGAUGCUGGUGGUGAUGGUGAUGAUGGUGAUAAUAAUGGUGAUGAUGAUGAUGAUAGUGAUGGGGAUGAGGAUGUUGGUGAUAAUGAUGAUGAUGAUAGUAUGAUGGUGAUGAUAAUGGUGAUGGUGAUGAUGAUGGUGAAUGAUGAUGGGGAUGAUGAUGAUGAUCAUGAUGGUGGUGAUGAUGAUGGUGGUGGUGGUGAUGGUGAUGAUCGUGAUAGUGAUGAUGAUGAUGGUGAUAAUGGCGAUGACGAUGAUGAUAGUGAUGGGAUGGGGAUGUUGGUGAUAAUGAUGAUGAUGAUAGUAUGAUGGUGAUGAUAAUUGUGAAGGUGAUGAUGAUGGUGAAUGAUGAUGGGGAUGAUGAUGGUGAUCGUGAUGGUGAUGAUGAUGAUGGUGAUGAUGAUGAUGGUGAUAAUGGUGAUGAUGAUGAUGAUAGUGAUGGGGCUGAGGAUGUUGGUGACAAUGAUGAUAUGAUAGUAUGAUGGGGAUGAUAUUGGUGAUGGUGAUGAUGACAAUAAUGCUUUCUGCUAAGCCAAGAGGUUCAUAUCACUCGGGAAAUAAGAUCAUACACACUGCAUUUGGGGGUUAUCUUGCAAAACCUUUCUUUUCGAUCUUAUUAAACAUGGCGUGAGGGACAUAUCAGAAUCCGUUUUAGUCAUCAUGUGAAAUGACCAAUGCUUCCCCCAUUGUCUCCGCUCAGGACUUUGUAAUGAAUGAAAUUGUGUCUCGAGUGCUGACAUGUUUUUGAGCGCCGCUGGGUAACCAUUGAGGAACCGUAGACCAAUAACUGAGCAAAAUUAUUGAGCGUGUGUGUGUUUGUGUCUGUGCCGGGGUGGGUGAGAGAGAGCAUCAAACUAGGAGAGAACCAACCAAGAUUGCUUAGUUUGAAAACAUGGAGUCUAUGGGUAUGGUGCACACUGUCAGGCAUUUGUGGUCUAACCAGUAGGUUCUUGUACACUGAACCUACUAGUCUACAGAUAAGUUCUACUAGUCAGGGCUCCUGGAUGUAUUUGAAGAGACGCCCUUAGGGGCAAACCCUGCCUUGGCGUGAGUCUGAGGCUGAGCUCCUCUAAUGAUGCAUCCUGGGUGCAUUGCUUGCCUCAUUCUUGUCCAGUCCUGCUGCUGACCCACCAGAGAUGAGAAAUAUGGCAGGAAAUCCAACCUGCGUGUCUCUUGUGACCCUGAAACCCCGCUACCUUGAAUGACAGCACUAUUCCCAUAGGAAUCUUAUUUUUGCCUGCAGAUUAUAGGCUCCUUCAGUAAAGGGACCAGGAAUUGCUUCUCUCUCCAUUCGGCUCAGUCCAUACCUUCUCGUCUGACACGGCGUCAAUGUCCAAUAAAUAUUGAUUGAUGUAAUAAAGUGGCAGUGGCUUUACUACUCUUUUCCAAAGAAGUGACAGGAAAUCGAAAUCAGGAUUCACCCAAUUUUACACAUUUUCCCGUCAGUUCAUAAUCUCUUUCCAAACAUUUAAUCAAAAAGACAGCAAUCGGAAUGAAAUAGGAAUCUAUAAUUUGACGUGAAAAUCACCCCCGGAACAGAAAUGUCUUCCCACGUGGGGAGAUCGUGCUGCUAAGAAAUGAUUCAUUCAACAGAGGUGUGGAAUGUCCUUUAAAACUAAGUUUUCAAAGAAGGAAGUUGAACAUUUUUCCUCUUCCCAGACAAAAUUGUCCUGGGUGCUUAAAAAUGAUUCAAGGAACGUGCAAAAUGGCUCUCAUCAAUUUCCCUUCGUAGGUGUUGAGGCUCAGGGCUGGGUUCUGCGUGUCUGAGCACUCUCCGUUGUGACAUUUUGGGGGGUUCUUGUAUUCCGUGUACCUAUAGGUAUGUGGGUUGUGUAGGGCUGACAUUGCCAAGUGAGGUUAGACCUUCAAGUAAUGUCUCUCAAGUUAAAAGUAAUAGCCUUGUAGAAAAGUAAUAAUAAUCAAGCAUUAAGCGCGCCAUAUAUGAGAACAGAUCCAUGACGUUCAUCCCUCGGCGCUCUUAAUCCUUUAAAUCAACAAACCAGCGAGUGAGCCAACGGGGGGCGUCUUCAAAAUGGAAUAUUUCCUCCAAACCUUCUACCAAAAUGGAGCCAUGUGGUAAGAAAGGAUCACCAUUUUCUGCCCCCUGAGAUGGGAGACGUCAGUUUAUCAACGCUCAACACCUUGAUCGCGUUAAAUAGGACAUUACUUGAAUAAAAUUUGUAUGUCUUAAAAUUCACUUUUAGGUCUUUUUUUUUCCAUGGGAGGUUUUCUUUGGUAAACCCUAAUUUCAGGUGUGGGCUCCUCCGCUCAUCGCUCGACCCUAUAACUCCACAAGACAUGAGUAGUAUUGUUUAAUACACUCAAUGUUUGUAUAGAUUGACCCACAUGUUGGCCGUUUUCUGAUUUCUCCCUUUCUUCUUGUAUUCUCACACUUUCCCACUGGGCUUAGUUUUGGGUUUUCUUGAUGCACCGUCUUUAAAUUUUUCUUCAGGGACGGCCCGCUCAUGAAAAGGCGCUUACGUUAUUGUUUUUCAACUGUUUUCCUUGGAGCCCCAUUUUUGAAAGGUAUUUUCUCUGGGAUCUGUUUCCUUUCAACACUUCAAUUCCUGUGUUCUUCUCUCUUUCUUAUCCUUCUGGCUUCCAAUGGGAUUGGAUACAUGUGUGUUGUAAGUCUCCCCUUCAAGCCUUUGGAAACGUUAUUUUUUAUUUUCUAGCUUCUUUCAGGAUUGUCUCUGGUGUUCUGAAAUUUCAUAGGAUGUAUGUGUGUGCAUAUAUUUAUUUUUAUUCUACUUGGGAUUAAUUUUAUUUCCUGUGCUUGUGAUGCGUGUUUGUCCAUAUAUUUAUUUCUCUUUUUCUUGGGGUUAAUUUUAUUUCCUGUGCUUGUGGGUUGCUGUCUCUUUCUCGAUUCUCGUUGAUCCUCAACCAUCCUCUCUUCACGUCUUCUUGUUGGCUCGCUCUCCUACAUUUCUGGAACUCGUAGCAUUCGUGAGCUCUUUUUCUUGUAUUUUCAGUGCCUCUGAGCAUCUUUCACAUUUUUCAUUUCUACGUCUCUCUGUACUUCUGGAGAAUGUACUCUCCCAGUUCACUAAUUCUCUCUUCACUCCUGUCUUGUCUGUUUUUAACCCCACCCGCUGAGGUUGAUAAAAAUGAUAAAAUGAUGCUGUUUAUUCUGCUGGAUUGGGACCCUUGCUAUGCCAGUGGUUAUAUUUCAGAUUUCAUCACUGUGCCUGGAGACACUAUCAAGUCAGGACCGUUUUGACCAAAUUCAUAGUUUGGAUUUUUUUUUUUUUUUUUUUGCAGGAGGGAGGGGAGAGUAUCUGCAAGAGGGCAGAUUAAUGGUUAGAAAUUCUCAAAAGCUUCCCUUUGUCUUGUUACCUUAGUGCCAAGGCGUCUCUUCCUUCAGAAUCCCGCAGGUGGAAGCUGUGUAUUUGCAUCCCGUCCACUCUUGUCCUGAGAAUGGAGACAGCGGUUCUCAAACCCGUCAGCUGAAGAACCUCUUUGUGCUCUAAAUAAUAUCGAUUAAGGAUCCCAAGUACUCAUCAUGUGGUUUAUAUCCAUUGAUAUUUACUGUAUUAGCAAUUAAAACCCAGAAGAUUUUUACACAUCUAUUGAUGGACCCAUUUAAAAGCAGUGAUGGUAAAUCCAUUACGUGCUAACACAAAUGAUAUAUUCUUAUUAUAGGAUGCAUGUAUUCUAUUCUUAUUGUAUAAUAGGAUAUAUAUGUCCUAUGUAUUGUAUUCUCACUCAUGUGAGAAUAUUACUGAUAAGAAUAGCAUUGCUGUGCAUUUUUGCAAAUCUCUUUAAUGUCCGGCGUUAAAGAGAGGGCAGCUGGAUUCCUGUGUCUGCUUCUGCAUUCAACCUGCUCUGUCAUCACCCAUCGCAAAGCUUCUGGAAAAUUCCGCUGGGCACUUGCGAGACAGUGAGACUGAAAAAGACAGAUAACAUCUCGCCUCCCCGGACACUGUGGCCACCGGAUGAUUUCCUGCUCUCCCGUCCGUGUUGUGAUGCUUUAAUAAGAUGCUUUACAAAUGUAUUCAUCCAGCAUUUUCAAUUGGUUUCAGCAGGAGCGUUGGGUCAAAUGACCUAAUCUUCCACGUUGCCAGAAAUAGAACUCAUAUUAAAAGACUUCAGCAUGACGGAUUAAGAAGACAAGAAGAGAAGAAGGAUUUAAAUUAUAUAACGCAAGGAAAAUCUCCUGGGUGCAUAGGCAAAUCCGUAUCCAUAAAAAAUAAAUUAUGUUUUCAAACCACAUAUUAGCCGAAAAGGAAAACAAUAAUUCCAAACAGUGGAAACAUAACCAACCAUAUUUUUGGCCAUAAUGUCGUAACGUUAGAGUUUAAUCGUAAAAUAUCAACAAACGAAAACUGCCAUCCAACUGGAAUUUUAAAACCCUCUUUCAAAGGUCCUUGGGUCGGAAAAAAGGAGGUUAAAACGAGGUGAUCACCAUUUCAGAACUUUGCGGGAUGUGGCUCAUGUUACUUUGGGGAGGAAAAUCGACAUUUUCGGAAUGACUUUCGUUUUUAAAUAAGGAAUGAAGCGUUGGAUUCAGAAGUUUAUGAAGAAAAACGUAAAUCUCGGGAAAGGAGGAGAGUGAAAUCCCUAAUUUAAUAAAGGAGGAAUUUCGUAAGUGAGGACAUAGGUAAAGAGCAGAACUGGGAAAUAUUUUACUGAUCGUACGAAGCCCAAACUUGUUCCCAGAGAAGACAGGGCCCUAGGAUCGACCACUCGAAAGCAAAAUGAAGAGAAGAAUAAAGGACACCCACCCAAAAUGGACUUGAGAAGCGUACGCUCAUCACAAAAUCCGUGUGAUUUUUGCCAUGGUUCAUGCAAAUAUGUUUGCAAAGCAGGAUAAGAGGGACGAUUGGAGGAAAAAUGUGCAUUAUCGAAAUUUAGAAAAACAAAGCAAAUAUCAGUAAAUCCGUUUCAAUGAGGAAAUUGAGACAGAGCUAAGCCGGCAUCAAAAUGUUCGAGCUCAUCGAAUUGUUAAGUGAGUUCUCUGAAUCCUUCAAGGAAUUCUCGGGGUAUUGAUAUGAUUCAGAGCCUGAGAUGAGACGGAACGCUUCCAAGUAAUGUGUGAGGACUUCAUCAGAAUCAUGCCAAAGUUUGAUUUUGAAAGCACAGAAAGAGAGACUGCAGACUUAGGUGAACGGAUUGCAAAUAACAUGAAAAUUCAUUAGGCAAAUAGCGUCGCCCACCUCAUCAAGAGAAUGAUACACACGAAAAAGUGAAGAUGGACAGACCGCUGAGACUUAUAUAAUGUUAUAAACCAAUGUCACCUCAAUAAAAUGUCUAUAUUUACUUUAUUUCUUUUUAAUAUAUAUCAAUUGUAUAUUAUAUAAAAA